This 314-nucleotide ribosomal RNA is filed under the name uncultured bacterium. RNAcentral describes it as "bacterial SSU rRNA". It matches the Rfam family "Bacterial small subunit ribosomal RNA", at positions 105 to 422 of the family's 1533-position model. The record is from RNAcentral.
GGUGAGUAAUACCUAGGAAUCUGCCUGGUAGUGGGGGGUAACGUUCGGAAAAAAACGCUAAUGCCGCAUACGUCCUACGGGAGAAAGCAGGGGACCUUCGGGCCUUGCGCUAUCAGAUGAGCCUAGGUCGGAUUAGCUAGUUGGUGAGGUAAUGGCUCACCAAGGCGACGAUCCGUAACUGGUCUGAGAGGAUAAUCAGUCACACUGGUUUUGAGGAAAGGUCCAGACUCCUACGGGAGGCAGCAGUGGGGAAUAUUGGACAAUGGGCGAAAGCCUGAUCCAUCCAAGGCGCGUGUGUGAAGAAGGUCUUCGGA